RNAcentral lists this non-coding RNA (120 nucleotides) under Pan paniscus (pygmy chimpanzee). Lineage: Eukaryota; Metazoa; Chordata; Mammalia; Primates; Hominidae. The record is from Rfam by way of RNAcentral. RNAcentral also lists the same sequence under 1 other name.
GCCGGGCGCGGUGGCUCACGCCUGUAAUCCCAGCAGCACUUUGGGAGGCUGAGGCAGGUGGGUCACCUGAGGUCAGGAGUUUAAGACCAGCCUGGCCAACAUGGUGAAACCCUGUCUCUA